UACGGAGGAUGCGAGCGUUAUCCGGAUUUAUUGGGUUUAAAGGGUGCGUAGGCGGUCCGUUAAGUCAGCGGUAAAAUUGCGGGGCUCAACCCCGGCGAGCCGUUGAAACUGGCGGGCUGGAGUUGGAGAGAAGUACGCGGAAUGCGCGGUGUAGCGGUGAAAUGCUUAGAUAUCACGAAGAACUCCGAUUGCGAAGGCAGCAUACCGGCGCCCUACUGACGCUGAGGCACGAAAGCGUGGGUAUCGAACAGG
This 252-nucleotide ribosomal RNA is filed under the name uncultured Bacteroidales bacterium. Its description in RNAcentral is "partial 16S ribosomal RNA". It matches the Rfam family "Bacterial small subunit ribosomal RNA", at positions 524 to 776 of the family's 1533-position model. Lineage: Bacteria; Pseudomonadati; Bacteroidota; Bacteroidia; Bacteroidales. The record is from RNAcentral.